This 497-nucleotide ribosomal RNA is filed under the name uncultured bacterium. Its description in RNAcentral is "partial 16S ribosomal RNA". It matches the Rfam family "Bacterial small subunit ribosomal RNA", at positions 28 to 507 of the family's 1533-position model. The record is from RNAcentral.
GAUGAACGCUGGCGGCGUGCCUAAUACAUGCAAGUCGAGCGAACGGACGAGAAGCUUGCUUCUCUGAUGUUAGCGGCGGACGGGUGAGUAACACGUGGAUAACCUACCUAUAAGACUGGGAUAACUUCGGGAAACCGGAGCUAAUACCGGAUGAUAUUUUGAACCGCAUGGUUCAAAAGUGAAAGACGGACUUGCUGUCACUUAUAGAUGGAUCCGCGCUGCAUUAGCUAGUUGGUAAGGUAACGGCUUACCAAGGCAACGAUGCAUAGCCGACCUGAGAGGGUGAUCGGCCACACUGGAACUGAGACACGGUCCAGACUCCUACGGGAGGCAGCAGUAGGGAAUCUUCCGCAAUGGGCGAAAGCCUGACGGAGCAACGCCGCGUGAGUGAUGAAGGUCUUCGGAUCGUAAAACUCUGUUAUUAGGGAAGAACAUAUGUGUAAGUAACUGUGCACAUCUUGACGGUACCUAAUCAGAAAGCCACGGCUAACUACGUG